AAGACCUUUGCGCUUUUGGAGCGGCCGAUGUCUGAUUAGCUUGUUGGUGAGGUAAAGGCUUACCAAGGCUUCGAUCAGUAGCUGGUCUGAGAGGACGGCCAGCCACACUGGGACUGAGACACGGCCCAGACUCCUACGGGAGGCAGCAGUGGGGAAUUUUGGACAAUGGGGGCAACCCUGAUCCAGCCAUGCCGCGUGAGUGAAGAAGGCCUUCGGGUUGUAAAGCUCUUUCAGCCGGAACGAAACGGUUACGGUUAAUACCCGUGACUACUGACGGUACCGGAAGAAGAAGCACCGGCUAACUACGUGCCAGCAGCCGCGGUAAUACGUAGGGUGCAAGCGUUAAUCGGAAUUACUGGGCGUAAAGCGUGCGCAGGUGGUUUUGUAAGACAGAUGUGAAAUCCCCGGGCUUAACCUGGGAACU
Molecule: ribosomal RNA, 424 nt
Filed under: uncultured bacterium
Lineage: Bacteria
Description: bacterial SSU rRNA
Rfam family: Bacterial small subunit ribosomal RNA
Source: RNAcentral